Molecule: ribosomal RNA, 541 nt
Filed under: uncultured archaeon
Lineage: Archaea
Description: bacterial SSU rRNA
Rfam family: Archaeal small subunit ribosomal RNA
Source: RNAcentral
CGGGGCGCAGCAGGCGCGAAACCUCCUCAAUGCACUAAAGUGCGAAGGGGUUACCUCGAGUGCCAUCUGAUGAAGGUGGCUUUUCCUUGGUCUAAAAAGCCUAGGGAAUAAGAGGGGGGCAAGACUGGUGUCAGCCGCCGCGGUAACACCAGCCCCUCGAGUGGUGGGGAUGAUUAUUUGGCCUAAAGCGUCCGUAGCCGGCCGGGUAAGUUUCCCGUUAAAUCCGACGUCUCAAGCGUUGGACUGCGGGAAAUACUGCCUGGCUAGAGAGUGGGAGAGGUCAGCGGUAUUCUGGGGGUAGGGGCGAAAUCCUUUGAUCCCCGGAGGACCACCAGUGGCGAAGGCUGCUGACUAGAACACGUCUGACGGUCAGGGACGAAAGCUGGGGUAGCGAACCGGAUUAGAUACCCGGGUAGUCCCAGCCGUAAACGAUGCAUGCUAGGUGUUGGGUUGGCCACGAGCCACCCCAGUGCCGCAGGGAAGCCGUUAAGCAUGCCGCCUGGGAAGUACGAUCGCAAGAUUGAAACUUAAAGGAGUUGCG